UAAAAGGCACAGAUGUUAUAGAACAGUCACAUUUCUUGAAUACAGAGAUCAUAUAAAUUAGAUAGUGAUUAAAAUUGGGAACAGCCAUUUUGCUGCUGCUUUAUUUGUCAGUGCUGACUCUUUCUUGACCAAACAUCUCUAUCUUUUCUGAUGCUGCACCACUAUGUGCUGGAGGAGUCUUUUCUGAACAGCUUUUCUUGUUUCUUCCCAUUUCUGUAGCUUCCACUAAAGUAUUAGUCAAUGGUUUUCCCAGUGUUUCUGGAAGCAUUAUGGUUAAGAUUCCACUCAGAAGAGCCAUGAUUCCAACAAGCAACUGGAAGAAAUAAACAGUAGGUGUAAAGGCGUGUUCACAGAGCUACAAUUCCCCUGCCACCUGGAAUCUCAAUUCACACUCCAACUCCUGUCUGCCUGUACCUGUGUGCUUGUUCCUUGUCUACACAGCCAGACUGGAAUUUCUCAAUAGGGCUCUUUGGCCCAGAGCCACAGAAGUGCACAUCUGUGCUCAGGAGAGCUCUUCAGCAUCUGCUAGCUCUCAACAGGAAUACUUUGCUAAACUCAGGUUCGAAGAACUGUGAGGAGUGCAGGCAUCUACUGACAUUUGCACUGAGAUCACAUUUUGGAUUUGUUCCAUGGUGUACACAAUUCCACAGCAGCACCAUAAGUGGUGCAAGGAUCAGGAUAAUGUGGGGUCAGUAGAGAAAUACUCACUUGUUCCAGGAAUAUCUACUCUUUCCAUUCACAUUCCCUUCACACAGACAUUUCUAUUUCUUGUUCAAUGACACCAAUUCCCACUUUGCUCCUCUGAGUACAGAACAGCAUUAAACCCCUGACAGUCCUCCAACACCAGGUUAUAAUGACCUAAUUCUCUCCUGAUAGAAAAGCUUUCACACAGAACAUCCCGCCUGGUCUCAGUGUUUUUCCAUUCUGUGACUGUGAACUUUGAUGCUGUACUAUCCUUAUCUUGCCCUGUGCUGAUUCUGAAGUCUGUCCUUUGCUCAAUGCAUUCUUUCCAAGGGUGAGAGAGAACAUUUGGAAUCACUGUGCCUACAUCUCAUACAGAGCUUGAGACAAGAGCUGCCCAGCUACCAUCUGCAGCUAAGCCAGACUUUAAGUCAGGAAGGUGCUUUAAAAUCAGAAUUCCCUACUGUAACCUUGAACAGUGCUAUUUGCCUGCCUAUGCACCAUGCUGGUUUUGCUUCUCUUCCCUUCCAAAAAAAAGAGGCAUUUGUUUCGUGUAUUCUUUUGAGAAGCAAAAUGCAGUGUUGCUUACCCUCCUUUUUGCUUUGCAAUAAAUAUAGAGGCCAGACAAAAAAAAAAAAAAAAAAAAAAACUGCUAAAUACUACAAACUACAGUGAAAAUAAAAGUCAUGGUCUUACCAUGAAAGUUUAAAAAAACCCAAAUCCUAGCAGUAAGAGGACUAGAGGAAAUGGCACAAACUGAAUGAGAUCCUUUUAGACAUGUAUGUGGCAGGAAUGAUACUUAAAAAUAUAUUCCAAAAUACUAAAAUCUCAUUUCUGAGUGUCAAAUUUCUUCUCUACUAUUCAGACAUGAUUUUCUGACACGGAAAGACAAGAUAAAUUGACACAUGGCAGCUAUUCCAUAACAUCCUCUUUUAUGUACACCCUUUAGUCUGUCAGAAGUUUAUAACUGAGGAUAUUUGGGUCUGUAAUGGAUAUUGAAUCUUAGGGACACCCAUAAAUUUGGAGUGUAUGAGAACUGGGUCACUAGUGGUACUCAAAAGAACAAGCUUAAAGUAACACUGUGUGCUUUGAAUAUGUGUGUCUUUUCUCUUUUCAUUAUUCUUUUUAGACACUUGGCAUUCUUCUCAUGUUUUCCCUCCUCAUGAACCUACCUCUCAUUAUUCCCCUGAGAACUCUCACUAUUCUGUAAGUGUACACACCACCAUCUUUCCUGCUUUUUAUCUCAGCUCUCAUAACUCUAUUUCAUCCCAUGUUAGUUUCCUUUUUUUAACCCCUCUUGUAUGAAAGCUGCUGCAUGCUGAGUAAUGCUGCAUGCUGCAUGCUGCAUGCAUUCAGUACAUUUCCCUUCUCCCUGACCCUCAAACCCUUUUCCAGUAUUUCCUACAACACACAGAGUAUGAAACAAUCAAGUCACAGUGUAUUAAUUCAACGACAUCUACCUUUUCAAGGGCAGUAGCCACAGUUAUCAAUGAAGGAACUCACAUUUGGUAAAUGCAACUCUUUUGCAGUCUUGGCACACUUCUUCAUAAGCAUCUGACAUAAUUUAACCCUCACUACAAAGGUAUGCAUUUUGCAUGUAUGUAUUUACUACUUUAAAUACAGAAUUCAGUAUCAGAAAAUAUUCUCCUGGUAUAGUCAAAUGCUUAUGUGUACAAAUAAAGUGUAUUUGUGUUAUUGAAGAAGGUAUUUAAGUAUGUUGAAGUUAAUUUGACAGUUAUACGUGGUUAAAUGCAUUGUGUUUUCAGGGUGUUAAUUUGAAAUCUGACUUCUUGCUUAGUCAAACUCUUAAGAGUGUCCCCCAACAUUUCAGUACAAUCAGUAGGUUCUAACAGAUACCAUAGAAACCUUCAGAAAAUAUGUACCAUUAUUUUUCUUAUGUCCUCUUCCCUUUCUGGACCAGCAUUUAUAAUUCUGCAGUGAUCUGAGACUAGGACUUGAUAGAUAUACUCCAGAAGAAAAGAUAAUUCGAAUUAAAUAUCCCUACAAAAUAAUACCUUUACUUCUGAACACAAAUUAUUAUUAUAGUUUGCUAUUUAUGUUUAUAUUCACAUCUGAUGCCUCUGAACCAAUCUAAAAUGUGAUCUUAUUGACAAAGUUCUUACUUCAACAAAAAAAGGUUAUAUUUCGACACAAAAAACCAGUAGUAUUUGACUGAGGGUUUGUAAUCAUUUAUUAACACCAGUGUGGACUUUUUAAAUUUCUAAUUUAUGUUUUUUCUGAGAGAAAAAUCAACCCUGUUAAAGAGCUAUUGCAACAUAACUCUUAACAGCUGAGAAACAGAAAUAGGUUAUAUAAGGAGUAGUUGUUUUACUGCACAUUUUCUAUAAAGUUGUCACAUGAAAAACAUAUUUGGCAAGUUAUUAAAUUUAUAGACUUAUUGAAGAUUUAUAGCCACUCAAGAUGCUUGCAGUACUCACAGGUGGCAUAACUGUGCAUGAGGCAGAGUGCCAAACAAACAGCAGUAGUAACUGUUCAACAGUGUGUGUGUUUGCAAUAGAUCAGGGUGAUGUGGAUCAGUUUACUUACAAAUGUAAUCCAUUUGAUUUCACUUCCAUUCCAAAACACUUACUUGACCUGAGAUUUGGCACGCUAUGCUCUAACUCAAGACAAGCCUAUUUAAUAAGUUGACAAAUGCUCCAUAACAGGAGCUAAUAAUGGAAACGUUCACUGUGAACUACUACUCAACUCUACAAAAACUCUGGAUAACUUUUGUACCCUGAGAGUGGUUCAUAGCUGAAAUAAUUCCUGUGCUUAUACUGCCAUUUGCACUGCUCUCCAAAACAUUUGAGCAGUUCCCCAUCUGUGGUUUGACUGCAGCACUUCUGCACAGAUAAAUCUUAUUUCAGAGUAAAGGCAAAAUGCUGACAAGAGGAAAAAAGAAAUGUUUUCCCAUGACCACUCUGCUGUGCAAAUGUUUCUUUGUCUUUUCUGGGAUCAUAUAUUGGUGGAGAAAUUGUUAAGAGAGAAAACAUUUUUAGGAACUUGAAUAAAUAAAUUCAUUUGUGGUCUCCUUCA
Molecule: non-coding RNA, 3717 nt
Organism: Zonotrichia albicollis (white-throated sparrow)
Lineage: Eukaryota; Metazoa; Chordata; Aves; Passeriformes; Passerellidae
Source: RefSeq, a predicted model, not a curated record